UGCAGUCCUAAACCCCAGCAAGUCGAGCGGAUGAAGGGAGCUUGCUCCUGGAUUCAGCGGCGGACGGGUGAGUAAUGCCUAGGAAUCUGCCUGGUAGUGGGGGAUAACGUCCGGAAACGGGCGCUAAUACCGCAUACGUCCUGAGGGAGAAAGUGGGGGAUCUUCGGACCUCACGCUAUCAGAUGAGCCUAGGUCGGAUUAGCUAGUUGGUGGGGUAAAGGCCUACCAAGGCGACGAUCCGUAACUGGUCUGAGAGGAUGAUCAGUCACACUGGAACUGAGACACGGUCCAGACUCCUACGGGAGGCAGCAGUGGGGAAUAUUGGACAAUGGGCGAAAGCCUGAUCCAGCCAUGCCGCGUGUGUGAAGAAGGUCUUC
Molecule: ribosomal RNA, 377 nt
Filed under: Pseudomonas fluorescens
Lineage: Bacteria; Pseudomonadati; Pseudomonadota; Gammaproteobacteria; Pseudomonadales; Pseudomonadaceae
Description: bacterial SSU rRNA
Rfam family: Bacterial small subunit ribosomal RNA
Source: RNAcentral